Molecule: long non-coding RNA, 252 nt
Organism: Arabidopsis thaliana (thale cress)
Lineage: Eukaryota; Viridiplantae; Streptophyta; Magnoliopsida; Brassicales; Brassicaceae
Product: other RNA
Exons: 2
Source: RefSeq
UCACAUGGGGUGGUUCAGUUAAAACCCGAACAGUAACGUGGAAACUGAGGCUCUUUACCGGCACGGUCCUACUCCUCCUUGUUCGAAUUGGAACUUCUGAGAUGCGUCGAAAGAGUGUGGGAGAUCCAACUGCUUAGAUUCAUGUGAACUGAAACUGUGUGAAGCCGUUUGCUUUGGAAACUGAAGCCUUCCCCAUGUUUCGUGUUUCUUUUCUUUUCUCUGACCACAACAACACUACCACUUCACUUUCUU